RNAcentral lists this ribosomal RNA (503 nucleotides) under Oreina speciosa. Its description in RNAcentral is "partial 16S ribosomal RNA". The stretch from base 379 to 503 matches the Rfam family "Bacterial large subunit ribosomal RNA", at positions 2473 to 2598 of the family's 2925-position model. The record is from RNAcentral. Lineage: Eukaryota; Metazoa; Arthropoda; Insecta; Coleoptera; Chrysomelidae.
UUUUGUAUAUAAUUUAAGGUCUAGCCUGCCCACUGAAAUUUUAAAUGGCCGUGGUAUUUUGACCGUGCUAAGGUAGCAUAAUCAUUAGUUUUUUAAUUAAAAACUGGAAUGAAAGGUUGGAUGAGAAAAUAGCUGUCUCUAUUAAAUUUAAUUAGAAUUUUAUUUUUAAGUUAAAAAGCUUAACUAUUAUUAAAAGACGAGAAGACCCUAUAGAGUUUAAUUAUUUAGUAAAAAUUAUAUUUUAGUAUUAAUUUAUUUAUUUUAUUAAAUAAUUUAAUUGGGGUGAUUGAAAAAUUUAAUUAACUUUUUUUAUUUAAAAACAUUAAUUUAUGAAUAAAUGAUCCAAUAUUUUUGAUUAUAAGAUAAAAUUACCUUAGGGAUAACAGCGUAAUUUUUUUAGAAAGUUCAUAUUAAAAAAAAAGAUUGCGACCUCGAUGUUGGAUUAAAAUAAAUUUUUGGUGUAGAAGCUAAAAUAUUAGGUCUGUUCGACCUUUAAAAUUUUA